ACAUGCAAGUCGAGCGGACAGAAGGGAGCUUGCUCCCGGAUGUUAGCGGCGGACGGGUGAGUAACACGUGGGUAACCUGCCUGUAAGACUGGGAUAACUCCGGGAAACCGGAGCUAAUACCGGAUAGUUCCUUGAACCGCAUGGUUCAAGGAUGAAAGACGGUUUCGGCUGUCACUUACAGAUGGACCCGCGGCGCAUUAGCUAGUUGGUGGGGUAAUGGCUCACCAAGGCGACGAUGCGUAGCCGACCUGAGAGGGUGAUCGGCCACACUGGGACUGAGACACGGCCCAGACUCCUACGGGAGGCAGCAGUAGGGAAUCUUCCGCAAUGGACGAAAGUCUGACGGAGCAACGCCGCGUGAGUGAUGAAGGUUUUCGGAUCGUAAAGCUCUGUUGUUAGGGAAGAACAAGUGCGAGAGUAACUGCUCGCACCUUGACGGUACCUAACCAGAAAGCCACGGCUAACUACGUGCCAGCAGCCGCGGUAAUACGUAGGUGGCAAGCGUUGUCCGGAAUUAUUGGGCGUAAAGGGCUCGCAGGCGGUUUCUUAAGUCUGAUGUGAAAGCCCCCGGCUCAACCGGGGAGGGUCAUUGGAAACUGGGAAACUUGAGUGCAGAAGAGGAGAGUGGAAUUCCACGUGUAGCGGUGAAAUGCGUAGAGAUGUGGAGGAACACCAGUGGCGAAGGCGACUCUCUGGUCUGUAACUGACGCUGAGGAGCGAAAGCGUGGGGAGCGAACAGGAUUAGAUACCCUGGUAGUCCACGCCGUAAACGAUGAGUGCUAAGUGUUAGGGGGUUUCCGCCCCUUAGUGCUGCAGCUAACGCAUUAAGCACUCCGCCUGGGGAGUACGGUCGCAAGACUGAAACUCAAAGGAAUUGACGGGGGCCCGCACAAGCGGUGGAGCAUGUGGUUUAAUUCGAAGCAACGCGAAGAACCUUACCAGGUCUUGACAUCCUCUGACAACCCUAGAGAUAGGGCUUUCCCUUCGGGGACAGAGUGACAGGUGGUGCAUGGUUGUCGUCAGCUCGUGUCGUGAGAUGUUGGGUUAAGUCCCGCAACGAGCGCAACCCUUGAUCUUAGUUGCCAGCAUUUAGUUGGGCACUCUAAGGUGACUGCCGGUGAAACCGGAGGAAGGUGGGGAUGACGUCAAUCA
This 1152-nucleotide ribosomal RNA is filed under the name Bacillus sp. (in: firmicutes). RNAcentral describes it as "bacterial SSU rRNA". It matches the Rfam family "Bacterial small subunit ribosomal RNA", at positions 53 to 1192 of the family's 1533-position model. Lineage: Bacteria; Bacillati; Bacillota; Bacilli; Caryophanales; Bacillaceae. The record is from RNAcentral.